GACAGAGGGUGCAAGCGUUGUUCGGAAUUACUGGGCGUAAAGCGCGUGUAGGCGGCAGCGUGUGUCGGGCGUGAAAUCCCAUGGCUCAACCAUGGAAGUGCACCCGAAACUGCGCAGCUAGAGUCCUGGAGAGGAAGGUGGAAUACUUGGUGUAGAGGUGAAAUUCGUAGAUAUCAAGUGGAACACCGGUGGCGAAGGCGGCCUUCUGGACAGUGACUGACGCUGAGACGCGAAAGCGUGGGGAGCAAACAGG
RNAcentral lists this ribosomal RNA (253 nucleotides) under uncultured bacterium. Its description in RNAcentral is "partial 16S ribosomal RNA". It matches the Rfam family "Bacterial small subunit ribosomal RNA", at positions 524 to 776 of the family's 1533-position model. The record is from RNAcentral.